GACGAACGCUGGCGGCGUGCUUAACACAUGCAAGUCGAACGGAAAGGCCCUGCUUUUGUGGGUUGCUCGAGUGGCGAACGGGUGAGUAACACGUGAGUAACCUGCCCUUGACUUUGGGAUAACUUCAGGAAACUGGGGCUAAUACCGGAUAGGAGCUCCUGCUGCAUGGUGGGGGUUGGAAAGUUUCGGCGGUUGGGGAUGGACUCGCGGCUUAUCAGCUUGUUGGUGGGGUAGUGGCUUACCAAGGCUUUGACGGGUAGCCGGCCUGAGAGGGUGACCGGCCACAUGGGGACUGAGAUACGGCCCAGAUGCCGACGGGAGGCAGCAGUGGGGAAGAUUGCACAAUGGGCGGAAGCCUGAUGCAGCAACGCCGCGUGCGGGAUGACGGCCUUCGGGUUGUAAACCGCUUUCGCCUGUGACGAAGCGUGAGUGACGGUAAUGGGUAAAGAAGCACCGGCUAACUACGUG
This 468-nucleotide ribosomal RNA is filed under the name uncultured bacterium. Its description in RNAcentral is "partial 16S ribosomal RNA". It matches the Rfam family "Bacterial small subunit ribosomal RNA", at positions 28 to 507 of the family's 1533-position model. The record is from RNAcentral.